CCUACGGGUGGCAGCAGUCGAGAAUCAUUCACAAUGGGGGAAACCCUGAUGGUGCGACGCCGCGUGGGGGAAUGAAGGUCUUCGGAUUGUAAACCCCUGUCAUGUGGGAGCAAAUUAAAACGAUCGUACCACACGAGGAAGAGACGGCUAACUCUGUGCCAGCAGCCGCGGUAAUACAGAGGUCUCAAGCGUUGUUCGGAAUCACUGGGCGUAAAGCGUGCGUAGGCUGUUUCGUAAGUCGUGUGUGAAAGGCGCGGGCUCAACCCGCGGACGGCACAUGAUAUUGCGAGACUAGAGUAAUGGAGGGGGAACCGGAAUUCUCGGUGUAGCAGUGAAAUGCGUAGAUAUCGAGAGGAACACUCGUGGCGAAGGCGGGUUCCUGGACAUUAACUGACGCUGAGGCACGAAGGCCAGGGGAGCGAAAGGGAUUAGAUACCCCAGUAGUC
This 446-nucleotide ribosomal RNA is filed under the name uncultured bacterium. RNAcentral's name for it is "partial 16S ribosomal RNA". It matches the Rfam family "Bacterial small subunit ribosomal RNA", at positions 338 to 795 of the family's 1533-position model. The record is from RNAcentral.